Molecule: ribosomal RNA, 189 nt
Filed under: uncultured bacterium
Lineage: Bacteria
Description: partial 16S ribosomal RNA
Rfam family: Bacterial small subunit ribosomal RNA
Source: RNAcentral
CUACGGGAGGCAGCAGUGAGGAAUAUUGGUCAAUGGGCGCAAGCCUGAACCAGCCAUGCCGCGUGCAGGAAGAAGCAUCUAUGGUGUGUAAACUGCUUUUAUACAGGAAGAAACACCCCCACGUGUGGGGGCUUGACGGUACUGUAGGAAUAAGGAUCGGCUAACCCCGUGCCAGCAGCCGCGGUAAUA